Molecule: ribosomal RNA, 337 nt
Filed under: uncultured bacterium
Lineage: Bacteria
Description: bacterial SSU rRNA
Rfam family: Bacterial small subunit ribosomal RNA
Source: RNAcentral
CAUGGCUCAGGAUGAACGCUAGCUACAGGCUUAACACAUGCAAGUCGAGGGGAAACGGCAUUUAGUGCUUGCACCGAAUGGACGUCGACCGGCGCACGGGUGAGUAACGCGUAUCCAACCUUCCCAUAACUAAGGAAUAACCUGCCGAAAGGCAGACUAAUACCUUAUGUAAUCCUUUGAUGGCAUCAGAUUAGGAUAAAAGAUUUAUCGGUUAUGGAUGGGGAUGCGUCUGAUUAGCUUGUUGGCGGGGUAACGGCCCACCAAGGCAACGAUCAGUAGGGGUUCUGAGAGGAAGGUCCCCCACAUUGGAACUGAGACACGGUCCAAACUCCUACGG